GAUGAACGCUGACAGAAUGCUUAACACAUGCAAGUCAACUUGAAAUUCGGUUUGGGUGGCGGACGGGUGAGUAACGCGUAAAGAACUUGCCUCACAGCUAGGGACAACAUUUGGAAACGAAUGCUAAUACCUGAUAUUAUGAUUUUAGGGCAUCCUAGAAUUAUGAAAGCUAUAUGCGCUGUGAGUGAGCUUUGCGUCCCAUUAGCUAGUUGGAGAGGUAACGGCUCACCAAGGCGAUGAUGGGUAGCCGGCCUGAGAGGGUGAACGGCCACAAGGGGACUGAGACACGGCCCUAACUCCUACGGGAGGCAGCAGUGGGGAAUAUUCGACAAUGGACCAAGAGUCUGAUCCAGCAAUUCUGUGUGCACGAUGAAGUUUUUCGGAAUGUAAAGUGCUUUCAGUUGGGAAGAAAAAAAUGACGGUACCAACAGAAGAAGUGACGGCUAAAUACGUG
RNAcentral lists this ribosomal RNA (454 nucleotides) under uncultured bacterium. RNAcentral describes it as "partial 16S ribosomal RNA". It matches the Rfam family "Bacterial small subunit ribosomal RNA", at positions 28 to 507 of the family's 1533-position model. The record is from RNAcentral.